UACGAAGGGGCUAGCGUUGCUCGGAAUCACUGGGCGUAAAGGGUGCGUAGGCGGGUCUUUAAGUCAGGGGUGAAAUCCUGGAGCUCAACUCCAGAACUGCCUUUGAUACUGAAGAUCUUGAGUCCGGGAGAGGUGAGUGGAACUGCGAGUGUAGAGGUGAAAUUCGUAGAUAUUCGCAAGAACACCAGUGGCGAAGGCGGCUCACUGGCCCGGUACUGACGCUGAGGCACGAAAGCGUGGGGAGCAACAGGG
Molecule: ribosomal RNA, 252 nt
Filed under: uncultured bacterium
Lineage: Bacteria
Description: partial 16S ribosomal RNA
Rfam family: Bacterial small subunit ribosomal RNA
Source: RNAcentral